AGCCGAUUCGUCCAAUGGCAGGACGCACGUCUGAUUAACGUGAAAUCACGGGUUCGAGUCCCUGAUUGGCUACCA
This 75-nucleotide transfer RNA is filed under the name uncultured archaeon. RNAcentral describes it as "tRNA-Ile(gat)". It matches the Rfam family "tRNA". From Rfam's summary of the family: Transfer RNA (tRNA) molecules are approximately 80 nucleotides in length. Their secondary structure includes four short double-helical elements and three loops (D, anti-codon, and T loops). The record is from RNAcentral.